CUGAGCACGAGUAAAAGACGCAACGCACAGCAAAAAUCUUGCGACGACGAAACGUCGCCCUCCUCUCCCCCGAUCCGCACGCCGGCACCGUUUUCUUUCCUUCUCUAUCUACUGGCAAGUUCGGCAACCGAUUCAUGCCCAACACGCAAUAAUUUGCCAUGCCCAACCUCCUCCCACCAUUGCCAUGCCCACCCGCCCGCACACUUUCCCAUUUCAGUCGCGGCUCCGUGGCAGGGCCGUGCUUCAAAUGCCGGUCUCCGCUCGCUUCAUUAUUCGCCUGAGCAUGCAGUAAUUCCUCCGGGUCGGCACCGGGUUCCUGAAAUUUCGCUCCACUUCUAGAAUUAUAUUGGCCCGACGCCGCCUCAAGGUUGGAUUUUUAGAGUCAAACAUCGGAAUCUUGGCCGACACGGACUGGGUUUCUUUGAGCAAAAUCGCUUGCCUGCUACCCACCCGCUGAGCUAGAGAUUGGAUUCGCGGGGGCGUUUCGGUGGGGGGCCGAGCAUGACGAUCGAUUUGUCCACCAUGCCCGGGAGCUCCUCCUCCCGUCUCCUGGACGCCGCCGCGGCGAGGAAGGACAUGAACUUCUUCAAAAACCGCUACGUGCUUGGGCUCACCGGCGUCGCCGGAAUCGGCGGGUUCCUCUUUGGAUACGACACAGGUGUUAUAUCUGGAGCGCUUCUGUAUAUUCGGGACGAAUUUCCAGCUGUCAAAGACAAUCUAUUCUUGCAGGAGACAAUUGUUAGCAUGGCAUUACUUGGAGCCAUGCUUGGAGCAGCUGGGGGCGGUUGGAUAAAUGAUGCCUACGGUCGUAAAAAGUCCACUCUUCUUGCUGACCUGAUGUUCGCACUUGGUUCACUGGUUAUGUGUGCUGCUGGCGGUCCUUACAUUCUGAUACUUGGAAGGCUCUUUGUUGGAUUGGGUGUGGGAAUAGCAUCAGUCACUGCCCCAGUUUACAUCGCUGAAGCUGCUCCUUCAGAAAUCAGGGGAGGUUUGGUGUCAACUAAUGUCCUCAUGAUUACUGGCGGCCAAUUCUUCUCCUACUUGGUCAAUCUUGGCUUUACCGAGUUGAUUUCAUAACACUCUUUCGUAUCAAUGAACGAGAGUCGGCCUUCCCCCAUCAGCAGCAAUGGAAUUAUCACCUACAAGGUGCUGUUUGGUUCCUGGGACAUGGCGCUGGAUGCUCGGAGUAGCUGCUGUGCCAGCAAUCAUACAGUUUGUGCUGAUGCUUUUUCUGCCAGAAUCUCCCCGCUGGCUUUACCGGAAGGAUGAGAAAGCAAAAGCUAUUGCUGUCCUGGAGCAGAUAUAUGACUCUGGUCGUCUGGAGGAAGAGGUUGAGCUGCUUGCGUCGGCUUCCAUGCAUGAAUUCCAGUCUAACUGUACUGGGAGCUAUUUGGACAUAUUCAGGUUGAAGGAAUUAAGGCUAGCUUUUUUUGCUGGAGCUGGUCUUCAGGCCUUUCAGCAAUUUACUGGCAUCAACACCGUCAUGUACUACAGCCCCACGAUCGUCCAGAUGGCUGGGUUCACUUCCAACAGGCUGGCCCUGCUACUUUCCCUCAUCGUUGCCGCCAUGAAUGCGAGUGGAACCAUCGUCGGAAUCUACCUCAUCGACCGUUGUGGCCGCCGCCGCCUGGCCCUUACAAGCCUAGCCGGGGUCGUGCUCUCCCUUGUCAUCCUCGCCACGGCCUUCAUACUGCAGUCAUCCUCCAGCCUCUGCGGGAGCCUGUUCAGCGGCUCCUGCCAAGGCGUGCUGGGGUGGUUCGCGGUCGGAGGGCUCGCUCUGUACAUCGCCUUCUUCUCUCCGGGCAUGGGGCCGGUGCCAUGGGCCGUGAACUCGGAGAUCUACCCCGAGGCCUACCGCGGCAUGUGCGGCGGCAUGUCGGCCACCGUCAACUGGAUCUCCAACCUGAUCGUGGCGCAGACGUUCCUCUCGAUCGUGGGGUGGGUCGGCACCGGCCCAACAUUCAUAAUCAUCGCCGGGAUAGCCGUGAUGGCCUUGAUCUUCGUCGCCCUCUACGUGCCGGAGACCAAGGGCCUGAGCUUCGAGGAGGUGGACCUCCUGUGGAAAGAGCGGGCCUGGGGAAGCCAGGGCAGCCACGAGAGCCUCCUGGGUGCUGCGCCGUAAGAGGUAAGACCACCACCUGCUGGCUCUGGUCCUGCACGGCGGUGCAUCGGCGGCGCCCUUUUAGUAUGGUUCUGCGGCUGCGCCCCGCCGCGCCUGGCUGGCUCGCGGCGGUCGCUGGCUUCUAGCUAGGACGGGAGUCUUAGAAAGAACUGGAUGGACAAUAUCAUACACGAAUCACGAACCUGUAUAUCAAUGGCGGUGUGUUAUGUUGUCGUCGCGUGUUCAAGUCGAAUAUUGUUGAGUCAAAGCGACCGUAUGACUGAGACGCAGCAAUAUUGUUUCUGCAUUGCCGGCAUGAGUGCACCAAGAACCAAAGAGCAAGAGCUCCGUUGGCGGUGAUGGGUGGUAGAUGGACAAAACCGAUGUCUUCAGCAGUUUAUUUUGCGUGGGUUUUGUGUUUCUAAUUCGUAAACUGGUAUCCCAAAUUGCCAGUUCUAUCUCCAUGUACCUAAGAGCACAGUGCUGGCCCUGUGUUUUGGAAGGCCCUAGGCGAACUCGGUG
RNAcentral lists this ribosomal RNA (2623 nucleotides) under Triticum aestivum (bread wheat). RNAcentral describes it as "partial small subunit ribosomal RNA". The record is from RNAcentral. Lineage: Eukaryota; Viridiplantae; Streptophyta; Magnoliopsida; Poales; Poaceae.